CACACCAAAUUAUAUCAGCUACGGAUAUAACCCAUUAUUUUUAAUGCUAUCAUUCUUCCACACAAGGCAAGGAAAUGGGGGCAUGUGAGGGAGAAAUUUAAACAACAACAACUAAAACAACAAACACGCAACAGCACAAGAUUUACACGAGCUCGUCCAUCACUUUGCUCGGCCUCUGCAUGGAAAACAUCUGCAUGUUACAAACACUUUCAUGUCUAACGUGCAGACUGCGGGCCCUCCUGUCCGCUGAAUGGCACAUUCACGGGGCAUUGCCUCUCUGAUGUCAGCUGCCCUCGCUGGGAAUAGGCAGGCCGAAUGUUGCUCCGAGCAGCUGAACACACACCACCUGCUGAUCCCAGUGAGUUCAUAGCACUUGUCUGCAAAUAUAAAAUAUUGGAAGGGUCACAGUUAUUGUGCCUUUGGAGAUAUUAAAGUUUAGAAGCUGCCUGUAAUGCCUGAUGUAUAGUAGAGCCUGAUCUUUCCAUGGAAAGUUGAUGGCUCCUACAAGAUAAACGUUGUGUGGGUAAAAUAAAUAGUCUUUCUCUGAGGAGCUAAUGCAUGAUGUUUGGUUUACCAGUGGUGCCGAAUCCAGUGGGAACAUACCCAUAAUUAUAGCAGGGAACCAUGUCGCUUUCUAAGCUCAGAGAUCUGCUGGGCGAAAGGCUGACUGGUAACGCAGGACACCAGCUGAGAUGUCUGCAAAGGUCCCUUUUGGGGCUUUUUGUCUGCAGGUAAGGACUUGGCUAACCAGUUCUGCUUCCAGCCUUUGUGUUAGAGCAGCUCUGCCUGCGCACACAUGGCAGUCUGCAUGUUCUUGUUGCUUGUUGGAGGUGCAGGGACAGGUUCCCGUGCUAGGGGCAAUCAUAAAAGACGGUUUAGAAGCAGGCCAAAUCGGUGGGCGAGGAGCAAGGGACACACACAGGGCCAGCUGUGCAGUAAAACAACUCUGCUUUUAACCCAUCACAGCAGCAGCAGCGGCUCAGCACCUAACCACUCACUUGGGAUGGGAUUCCUCCGGCCCUGUGUGGACAUCUACAGCCGAUCCAGAGCUAAAUGCUCUCUGCAGCUGUCGGGGAGUGAUACCAAUCUCCUCCUGAGGUCGUCCUGGCUAUUUUGCUGGACCAUCCCUGUAAGGCUGCUCUGCCCUGCUCCUCUCUGCCUCCAGCAGUACUAUUAA
Molecule: long non-coding RNA, 1177 nt
Filed under: Cairina moschata (Muscovy duck)
Lineage: Eukaryota; Metazoa; Chordata; Aves; Anseriformes; Anatidae
Description: domestica (muscovy Duck (domestic type)) lncRNA (ENSCMMG00000008671.1)
Source: RNAcentral